CAUUAGCUAACAUGGCAAUAACGGAUGUGUUUUGAAGCUUCAUCCAGCCCAACGGUGUAUGCAGAUUGCAACAGCACUGUUGAUACCAGGAAACUGUUCCCAUCACGUGGUUUCAUGUUAGUGACAUUGGUGCACUAUUUCUCAAUGUAUCACAUUUUCUCUUUUAGGACCAUCACGGCCCAAGAACAUGACAUAUUCUCCAUCGAUCUCUUCAAUUUCAGACAAACGUGAGUUUUUGAAAAGAAACCGCACAGCUCUGGUUAGCCAGGUGAAAAACGUGAAGGCCAUUGUCGAUGAUCUGCAGAGUGGAGGUUGUCAUGAUGAAAUGGCUGCCAACGUGAAUGCCCAGUUGGCACCACAAGAAAUGAUGAGGAAGCUCCUGGAUAGCGCGACCAGCACCGGGGCUGCUAACGCCCUGAUUCAAGCCCUUUCAACUCAUCAGAAGGAUGUCAUGGAUGACCUGAUUGCUGAAAAUGCUUGAAGAGGUCAAUUGGUUCUUCAUUAUAAUUGAUCUAUUUUUUACCUUUUUUCUAUCACUUUCUUUUUCCUCUGAGCCACCAGCCUGGUCUCAUAAACUAGUAAACUUACAUCUGGGACACUCAGAAUAGUAUAAUAUGCUACAGUACAUUUGGUACUGUAUGUUUACAUUAAAUUAAUGUAGAGUGGUUGGUUAAAGUGGAUGAGUAUGAUGCAACCUGUCAACUACUUACUUCUUUGAACCUACUUAGCAUGUUAGCUAACCCUUCCCCUAACUCUUAACUCCUAACACUAACCCUAGGCCUAGCUAACAUUAGCCACAACAAAUUGGAAUUCAUAACAUAUACGUUCUGCAAAUUGGUAACAUUACAUAUUGAAAUUCAUAACAUAUCAUACAAAUUGUAAUUUGUAACAUAUCAUAGGAAAUGGAUGAUGGACAUCCACAAAUGAAUACAUACCAUACGAAAGGUAACAUAUCAUACUAAUUGGCUGUUCCAGAUAUAUAUUUACUCUGUUACGUCUACCCCCUGAAUCCAGGCUGUUGCCACAUGUAAUUAUUGGUGGUGGUGCUAUUUUUUAUUGACAAAACCUGGACAAUAUAAUAUUUUAAGGGGAAACAUUUCUAUAAAAAAUGCAAGACAAUAUAUUUUGAUUAUGUUGACUAUGGUUCUUUACAUUCCAAAUAUAAAAUGUAAUGGUGCAGUUUGAAGAUUUACCGCCACAUUACCUUUAAAUGAAAUGUUGUUGAACUACUUACGUUGUCAAACUCCAAGAAGGAGAGGUCCAAUAAAUAAACAUCUGUAGGCCUA
Molecule: long non-coding RNA, 1286 nt
Organism: Oncorhynchus masou masou (cherry salmon)
Lineage: Eukaryota; Metazoa; Chordata; Actinopteri; Salmoniformes; Salmonidae
Exons: 2
Source: RefSeq, a predicted model, not a curated record